AUGAUGAUGGAGAAUCUCCAGUGGCUUGACCUCGACGGAAAUCACUUGUUUGGGUCCAUCCCACCUCAGAUUGCAAUGCUCAAGAAUAUAGGAAAUUUGUUCCUUUCCAACAAUACAUUGUCUGGUUUAACACCGGAGGGGAUUGGUAACCUGACCAAAUUAGAAUACCUGGCAUUGUCUGCCAACCAGUUAUCGUCAAUUAUCCCGUCGAGUUUAUUUCAUCUUAAUAGUCUCAUUCUGCUAGAUGUUUCUCAAAACUUUUUGACUGGCACAUUACCAGUUGAUAUGGGCAAUUUGAAGCAAAUUGACAGCAUGGACCUCUCUGCCAACCUCUUGGUUGGUAGCAUCCCAUAUUCGAUUGGACAACUCCAAACUAUUGCCUACUUGAACCUGUCACACAAUUCAUUUGAUGAUUCACUUCCAGAAUCUUUCGGCAAGCUAACCAGCUUGCAAACUUUGGACCUAUCACAUAACAGUCUCUCUGGUACAAUAUCAAAGUACCUAGUCAAUUUCACCAUCUUGGCCAGUUUGAACCUGUCUUUCAACAAGCUACAAGGUCAAGUACCAGAAGGUGGUGUCUUCUUAAAUAUUAGUCAGCAAUCCUUGGCAGGGAAUUUAGGGCUUUGUGGUGCUUCACGUUUAGGAUUUCCAAUGUGCCCAAGUAACUCUAAAAGAGCUAAUAAUGGCCUCAUGCUGAAGAUUUUGAUCCCUACUAUCAUCAUAACAAUUGGACUUGUAGCUUUCUGCAUAUAUGUAACAGUCAGAAAGAAGAUUAAGAAGCGACAAGGGAUGUCAGCUUCUCCCGGUAUGGUUGACAUGCCCACCCAUCACUUGGUCUCGUACCAUGAGCUUGUUCGAGCAACUGAUAAUUUUAGUGAGAGCAACCUGCUAGGGUCUGGAAGUUUUGGAAAAGUUUUCAAGGGCCAGCUAAGCAAUGGUUUGAUUGUUGCAAUCAAAGUUCUAGACAUGCAGCUAGAACAAGCGAUGAGAAGCUUUGAUACAGAGUGUGGUGUACUACGGAUGGCACGACACCGCAAUCUAAUGAGGAUACUCAAUACCUGCUCCAACUUGGAAUUUAGGGCAUUGGUGCUUCAAUACAUGCCCAAUGGCAGCUUAGAAAUGCUGCUACACAACUCUCAAGGUACAACCGAAUUGGGAUUCAGUUAG
This 1167-nucleotide ribosomal RNA is filed under the name Triticum aestivum (bread wheat). RNAcentral describes it as "partial small subunit ribosomal RNA". The record is from RNAcentral. Lineage: Eukaryota; Viridiplantae; Streptophyta; Magnoliopsida; Poales; Poaceae.